RNAcentral lists this long non-coding RNA (1489 nucleotides) under Equus asinus (donkey). RNAcentral's name for it is "lncRNA (ENSEASG00005035609.1)". The record is from RNAcentral. Lineage: Eukaryota; Metazoa; Chordata; Mammalia; Perissodactyla; Equidae.
AUUCUCAGACCCCACCCAAAACCUACUAAUUCAGAAUUGCUGGGUGUGGGGCCAAUAAAUCUGUGUUUCACCGAGGCAUCACGUGAUUCUGAUGCACGUUAGGUUUGAGAACAUUGGAUUAGAGAAACGAAGCGACCUCUUUCAUUAUAACAGAAGGGAAGGGGAAAAAGAUAAAAUGUAGGAUUAACUUGAGGAUCUUCAAUGACUUCUUUACUCCUGAAAGAGAAGCAUGAUCAAGUCAGAAUCAACCAAUUGAAGAUUCCAUGCUGUUCCUGGUCUCUGUAUUUAUGCUAACAAAUUCUUCGUUAUUUCAUUGCGGCAUCUGAGCAGUACAUGCUUAUAAGACAGUGGACAACCAGCCUCCUGUUUGUGAGGACUUCCUACCAAGAUGUAACAAAAGAACUUGGAAUCAUUUAUGGGACAGAGAGAAUGGUGAGAAGAGCCGAGGGAAAGGACAAGAAAAAACAAAAAAAAGUUCCCCAGACUAAGAAGAGUGUGCAGAUGGCGGAAGGACUGACAUUACAAAUUUCCAUUAUGCUACAUCACAGAUUAUUUUUAAAAACGUAGCAUUAAAAGAAAUACUUUGGGGGCCGGCUCUGUGGCCGAGUGGUUAAGUUCGUGCGCUCCGCUGCGGUGGCCCAGGGUUUGGAUCCUGGGCGUGGACAUGGCACUGCUCGUCAGGCCACAUUGAGGCGGCGUCCCACAUCCCACAACCAGAAGGACGUGCAACUAAGAUAUACAACUGUGUACAGGGGCGGGGUGGGGAGAUAAAAGCAGAAAAAAAAAAAAAAAAAAAAGAUUGGCAACAGUUGUUAGCCCAGGUGCCAAUCUUAAAAAAAAAAAAAAAUACUUUGGUAAAUGUAUCUGAUGGCUAGCAUGUGUUCAACAAACAUCACUUGCAUGGUUCUUUUUCCUGGUUACCCAUUCACAUUUUCACAUAUAGAAUGAGGAUUGCUAUUUGCAUGUUAACUAUGAGAACACUGAGAUAAAUAUUGAGGUUUUGACCAAGGUCACAGGGGAAAUUGAUGCCAGAGCUAGGCAAGAGCUCCAGCUUCUGAGGAGUAUAUGCCAAGAAGAGGGAGAAAGAUAAAAAAAAGUUUUGUGUGUUUUUCCUACUCAAGGUCAGUAGAGAAGGAAUUACCUUCUUUCUUAUUGGAUUUGAAUUCAGAUUAAGUUCUUUAAUUUCCGUCUUUGUCCCCAGUGUUUAUUCAGUUGAGUCCCAGAUUUCUUGUAAUGAAUAGGAUAGCAGGACAGCAAGAAGAGAGGGUUAAUAUUCAGACAUAAUGUGCCACUGACUGCUGCGUGAGCCACAGUUUUGGCUCAUAGGUGUACUUGAAAACCCCCAGAUUCCAUCUGUUUCCUUCAUUGCCUUAGGAGUUUGGAGUUAAUUGAUAAAGCUCGGCUCAACCUACCAUUUUUGAAGAAUACUUAAUUUUUUUCUGGUAUUUAAAAAUUCCAAAUAGCUUAAAGACUAAGUAUGGAAGUAAAA